GACGAACGCUGGCGGCGUGCUUAACACAUGCAAGUCGAACGAGGAGCGAUGGAAGCUUGCUUCUAUCAAUCUUAGUGGCGAACGGGUGAGUAACGCGUAAUCAACCUGCCCUUCAGAGGGGGACAACAGUUGGAAACGACUGCUAAUACCGCAUACGAUCUAAUCUCGGCAUCGAGGAUAGAUGAAAGGUGGCCUCUACAUGUAAGCUAUCACUGAAGGAGGGGAUUGCGUCUGAUUAGCUAGUUGGAGGGGUAACGGCCCACCAAGGCGAUGACCAGUAGCCGGUCUGAGAGGAUGAACGGCCACAUUGGGACUGAGACACGGCCCAGACUCCUACGGGAGGCAGCAGUGGGGAAUCUUCCGCAAUGGACGAAAGUCUGACGGAGCAACGCCGCGUGAGCGAUGACAGCCUUCGGGUUGUAAAGCUCUGUUAAUCGGGACGAAAGGCCUUCUUGCGAAUAGUGAGAAGGAUUGACGGUACCGGAAUAGAAAGCCACGGCUAACUACGUG
RNAcentral lists this ribosomal RNA (510 nucleotides) under uncultured bacterium. RNAcentral's name for it is "partial 16S ribosomal RNA". It matches the Rfam family "Bacterial small subunit ribosomal RNA", at positions 28 to 507 of the family's 1533-position model. The record is from RNAcentral.